AACGAACGCUGGCGGCAUGCCUAACACAUGCAAGUCGAACGAGACCUUCGGGUCUAGUGGCGCACGGGUGCGUAACGCGUGGGAAUCUGCCCUUGGGUUCGGAAUAAUAGUUGGAAACGACUGCUAAUACCGGAUGAUGACGUAAGUCCAAAGAUUUAUCGCCCAAGGAUGAGCCCGCGUAGGAUUAGCUAGUUGGUGAGGUAAAGGCUCACCAAGGCGACGAUCCUUAGCUGGUCUGAGAGGAUGAUCAGCCACACUGGGACUGAGACACGGCCCAGACUCCUACGGGAGGCAGCAGUGGGGAAUAUUGGACAAUGGGCGAUAGCCUGAUCCAGCAAUGCCGCGUGAGUGAUGAAGGCCUUAGGGUUGUAAAGCUCUUUUACCCGGGAUGAUAAUGACAGUACCGGGAGAAUAAGCUCCGGCUAACUCCGUG
RNAcentral lists this ribosomal RNA (433 nucleotides) under uncultured bacterium. RNAcentral's name for it is "partial 16S ribosomal RNA". It matches the Rfam family "Bacterial small subunit ribosomal RNA", at positions 29 to 507 of the family's 1533-position model. The record is from RNAcentral.